RNAcentral lists this ribosomal RNA (495 nucleotides) under Pardosa weixica. RNAcentral describes it as "partial 16S ribosomal RNA". The stretch from base 149 to 449 matches the Rfam family "Bacterial large subunit ribosomal RNA", at positions 2074 to 2646 of the family's 2925-position model. The record is from RNAcentral. Lineage: Eukaryota; Metazoa; Arthropoda; Arachnida; Araneae; Lycosidae.
AAUGAAAUUUAAAUAGCCGCUUUUGUGCUAAGGUAGCAUAAUAAUUUGUCUUUUAAUUAAAGACUAGAACAAAAGGUUUAACAUCUCAAUUAAUAUUUCAUAAAAAACUAUUCAAAUUAUUUUAAUUGUAAAAAAACAAUUUUAAAAAAGAAAGACGAUAAGACCCUAUCGAACUUUACUUUAGUUUAACUGGGGCAGUUAAUUAAUUAUUAUUUUAAUUUAAAUAAAAAUUUAAUUUGACCUAAUAUUAUUAAUAAAAUAACUAAGUUACCGUAGGGAUAACAGCGUAAUAAAAUUUUUAAGAUCUUAUUUAAAAUAAAGAUUGCGACCUCGAUGUUGAUUUAAUAUCCUAAUUUACGCAAUAGUUAAUUAAGGAAGUCUGUUCGACUUUUAAAAAAUUACAUGAUUUGAGUUCAGACCGGUGUAAACCAGGUCGGUUUCUAUCUUCUAAAAAAAUUCUUCUAGUACGAAAGGACCUAAGAAAAUAAUAAUAUU